Neltuma alba is the source of this 1456-nucleotide RNA transcript. It is a transcript of the gene named DNA repair protein XRCC2 homolog, with no coding region annotated. The record is from RefSeq and is a predicted model, not a curated record. NCBI's taxonomy places the organism in Eukaryota, Viridiplantae, Streptophyta, Magnoliopsida, Fabales, Fabaceae. The transcript is spliced from 12 exons.
GUCUGACCCGUUCAUUGACGGAACAUUUCCCGCACAGUGUGCGGAAGAAUUCUGUACUUCCACAGAGGCCCUAUCUUGAGUCAGUUGAUCCGUGUCUCCAUUUCGUUCGAGGUAUUUACAAUUGAUAGGAAGACUAAUAUAAGCCACUUGAAACAUCUCUUCAUAUUUCAUGUCAAAUUUCCUUAUCAGAUUCCAGAAUUGAUGUCCGGAUCCCAAUGGAGAGAUGGAUUGACGGAGAUGAAAACGCCAAUCAGAUGCUUGCUAGGGUUUCCAUGGCCCGACCUUUUCUGCUUCCUCCCCCACUUCACAGGGUUCCUCUUCGCGUCGGCAAUGUCGUUGAGCUCAUUGGUCCCUCACCUUCUGCCAAAACCCACAUUCUCACUCAGACUGCUAUCAAUUGCAUUCUUCCUAAAAGGUGGAAUGACGUAGAAUAUGGCGGGUUGGAUCGCUUGGUUGUUUUCGUUGACCUAGACUGUCGUUUUGAUAUCAUGCGUCUUUCGGAAAUGCUGAAUUAUCGGAUUAUGGAAUUUGAGGGGGCAGUUGAUGGAGAUCACAAUAAGUCAUUACAUGAUUUGUGUAUGAGCCGUUUCCUCUAUAUCCACUGCUACAAUAGUUUUGAAUUCCUUCAAACUCUCAAGACUUUACAUUAUCGCUUACAAAAGGAGGAAGAAGCUCAUGGGGUUAGUUCACUCAUGCUUAUGAUUGACAGUAUUGGAGCUUUUCACUGGGUAGAUCGUGCCACGACAUUCUUGCCUCGAAGAGAUAGUAGCAGGAAAAACCUUUCUCCUCAGACUUUGUCAGAAGCAGUAGUUCGUGAGAUAAAAAUAGUUAUUCAGAUGCAUCCCAUGCUUAUUAUAGCUACAAAGUCGGCCAUUUUUAUGGAUAGACUUUCCUCUGCUUCAAAUUUGGCGAAGUGGAACUUCAUAAAAGAUAAUCGGCAAGCUGAAAGAGUUUGCAGGAGUGUGACAAGAAAUGAUCAACCCAUUCAGUAUCGUGAGUAUAUGCCUUCUGUCUGGCAGGCCUUUGUUACACACCGAAUGCUCCUUCGUGCUUCGGAUGAUUAUCGUGUUGUGAGCAAUCACGAAAACUGCUCGUGCUAUGCAUUGGAAUGGUUGUUGCCGAGAUUGAAUUCUUUGGAGAGAUUCGUCGUGAAAGAUGCAGGAAUAUUUGUUGAUUGACGCAUCCUUACAAGGAUGUGAUGCAGCAUUUCUUUGCAAUUGCCAUCGAGCAUGUGGAGGAACGAGAUCGACGAUGUCGCAGCCAAGUUGGCUGAUUCUGAUCGUGGUGGAAGGCAUGGUGGUGGGUGAAGUAUGUGUUUGUGUUGGAGAACAAUGCCGAUGCCAUUGUGGUGCCACCGAUCGCCGUCUUUGUCACCGUUCGCAGGUUCAGCAAGCAAGCUAGCUCUAACAAUGGAGGUUGAGUGAUGGAGAUGGGGGAGGGACCCUUUUUCAAAAUG